RNAcentral lists this ribosomal RNA (500 nucleotides) under uncultured bacterium. RNAcentral describes it as "partial 16S ribosomal RNA". It matches the Rfam family "Bacterial small subunit ribosomal RNA", at positions 30 to 523 of the family's 1533-position model. The record is from RNAcentral.
AUUGAACGCUGGCGGCAUGCCUUACACAUGCAAGUCGAACGGCAGCACGGGUGCUUGCACCUGGUGGCGAGUGGCGAACGGGUGAGUAAUACAUCGGAACGUACCUUAUCGUGGGGGAUAACGCAGCGAAAGUUGCGCUAAUACCGCAUACGCCUGAGGGGGAAAGCGGGGGACCGUAAGGCCUCGCGCGAUUAGAGCGGCCGAUGUCUGAUUAGCGUGUUGGUGAGGUAAAAGCUCACCAAGGCGAUGAUCAGUCGCUGGUAUGAGGGGUCGAUCGGCGACACUGGGACUGAGACACGGCCCAGACUCCUACGGGCGGCAGCAGUGGGGAAUGUUGGACAAUGGGGGAAACCCUGAUCCAGCAAUGCCGCGUGAGUGAAGAAGGCCUUCGGGUUGUAAAGCUCUUUUGUCAGGGAAGAAACAGCAGCUCUAACACAGUCUGCGAAUGACGGUACCUGAAGAAUAAGCACCGGCUAACUACGUGCCAGCCGCCGCCGUAA